AGAAUACCUCUUCAACACUUCAUUAGGCUGUGUUCUUCUCUCAGUCCUCUGUGGUGGCUAGACCAUCUAUCUGUCCACGCCACUGUAGUGGAGACAAGUCAGAGUGCUGGCUUUAAGGCUAAAAAGCCCCAAUUAGUUGUAAUUACACACAGAGAACACUUAACCGUUUGGAUAUGUAAGUAUAUCAACAGGAGAUUGUUGACAUUAAAACACUUGCAUAGCAGGUGUGAUAUUUGUAUUUAUUAUGGAUCCCCAUUAGUUCCUGCCAAAGCAGCAGCUACUCUUCCUGGGGUUUAUUAUGGAUCCCCAUUAGUUCCUGCCAAAGCAGCAGCUACUCUUCCUGGGGUUUAUUAUGGAUCCCCAUUAGUUCCUGCCAAAGCAGCAGCUACUCUUCCUGGGGUUUAUUAUGGAUCCCCAUUAGGUCCUGCCAAAGCAGCAGCUACUCUUCCUGGGGUUUAUUAUGGAUCCCCAUUAGUUCCUGCCAAAGCAGCAGCUACUCUUCCUGGGGUUUAUUAUGGAUCCCCAUUAGUUCCUGCCAAAGCAGCAGCUACUCUUCCUGGGGUUUAUUAUGGAUCCCCAUUAGUUCCUGCCAAAGCAGCAGCUACUCUUCCUGGGGUUUAUUAUGGAUCCCCAUUAGUUCCUGCCAAAGCAGCAGCUACUCUUCCUGGGGUUUAUUAUGGAUCCCCAUUAGUUCCUGCCAAAGCAGCAGCUACUCUUCCUGGGGUUUAUUAUGGAUCCCCAUUAGGUCCUGCCAAAGCAGCAGCUACUCUUCCUGGGGUUUAUUAUGGAUCCCCAUUAGUUCCUGCCAAAGCAGCAGCUACUCUUCCUGGGGUUUAUUAUGGAUCCCCAUUAGUUCCUGCCAAAGCAGCAGCUACUCUUCCUGGGGUUUAUUAUGGAUCCCCAUUAGUUCCUGCCAAAGCAGCAGCUACUCUUCCUGGGGAUUAUUAUGGAUCCUCAUUAGUUCCUGGUAAGGCAGCAGCUACUCUUCCUGGGGUUUAUUAUGGAUCCCCAUUAGUUCCUGCCAAAGCAGCAGCUACUCUUCCUGGGGUUUAUUAUGGAUCCCCAUUAGUUCCUACCAAAGCAGCAGCUACUCUUCCUGGGGUUUAUUAUGGAUCCCCAUUAGUUCCUACCAAAGCAGCAGCUACUCUUCCUGGGGUUUAUUAUGGAUCCCCAUUAGUUCCUGCCAAAGCAGCAGCUACUCUUCCUGGGGUUUAUUAUGGAUCCCCAUUAGUUCCUACCAAAGCAGCAGCUACUCUUCCUGGGGUUUAUUAUGGAUCCCCAUUAGUUCCUGCCAAAGCAGCAGCUACUCUUCCUGGGGUUUAUUAUGGAUCCCCAUUAGUUCCUACCAAAGCAGCAGCUACUCUUCCUGGGGUUUAUUAUGGAUCCCCAUUAGUUCCUGCCAAAGCAGCAGCUACUCUUCCUGGGGUUUAUUAUGGAUCCUCAUUAGUUCCUGACAAAGCAGCAGCUACUCUUCCUGGGGUUUAUUAUGGAUCCCCAUUAGUUCCUGCCAAAGCAGCAGCUACUCUUUCUGGGGUUUAUUAUGGAUCCCCAUUAGUUCCUGCCAAAGCAGCAGCUACUCUUCCUGGGGUUUAUUAUGGAUCCCCAUUAGUUCCUGCCAAAGCAGCAGCUACUCUUCCUGGGGUUUAUUAUGGAUCCCCAUUAGUUCCUGCCAAAGCAGCAGCUACUCUUCCUGGG
Oncorhynchus mykiss (rainbow trout) is the source of this 1695-nucleotide long non-coding RNA. Lineage: Eukaryota; Metazoa; Chordata; Actinopteri; Salmoniformes; Salmonidae. The record is from Ensembl.